RNAcentral lists this ribosomal RNA (1198 nucleotides) under metagenome. Its description in RNAcentral is "SSU rRNA". It matches the Rfam family "Eukaryotic small subunit ribosomal RNA", at positions 558 to 1785 of the family's 1831-position model. The record is from RNAcentral.
AGUCUGGUGCCAGCAGCCGCGGUAAUUCCAGCUCCGCCAGUGUAUAUCUAUGCUGCUGCGGUUAAAAAGCUCGUAGUUGGAUCUUCGUGUUGAUGCCGGUCUGUCUUUGUGACAUGAACUGAUCAUCAGCACUGUUUCGUUGGUUUUCCCUUGAUGCCUUUAAUCGGGUGUCCUGGGUGGCCAACAUGUUUACUUUGAAAAAAUUAGAGUGCUUAAAACAAGCGAUUUGCUUGAAUAUUCGUGCAUGGAAUAAUAGAAUAGGCUUUUGGCUCUAUUUUGUUGGUUUUCGGAGCACAAGAGAAUGAUUAAGAGGGACAGACGGGGGCAUUCGUACUCCGACGUUAGAGGUGAAAUUCUUGGAUCGUCGGAUGACGCACUACUGCGAAAGCAUUUGCCAAGAAUGUUUUCAUUAAUCAAGAACGAAAGUUAGAGGUUCGAAGGCGAUCAGAUACCGCCCUAGUUCUAACCGUAAACGAUGCCAACUAGCGAUCUGCUGGUGUUUUUUCAGACCCAGCAGGGAGCUUACCGGAAACGAAAGUCUUCAGGUUCCGGGGGAAGUAUGGUUGCAAAGCUGAAACUUAAAGGAAUUGACGGAAGGGCACCACCAGGAGUGGAGCCUGCGGCUUAAUUUGACCCAACACAGGAAAACUCACCCGGCCCGGACACCGUAAGGAUUGACAGAUUGAGAGCUCUUUCUUGAUUCGGUGGGUGGUGGUGCAUGGCCGUUCUUAGUUGGUGGAUUGAUUUGUCUGGUUUAUUCCGAUAACGAACGAGACUCCAACCUACUAACUAGUGGGCGAAUCUUCUUGUUCGCAACACUUCUUAGAGGGACAAGCUGUGUUUAGCAGCAUGAGAAGGAGCAAUAACAGGUCUGUGAUGCCCUUAGAUGUCCGGGGCUGCACGCGCGCUACACUGAAGGAAUCAACGUGCUAGAAAACCUUGUUUGACAUAGCUAGGUAACCCCUUGAAAAUCCUUCGUGAUUGGGAUCGGGACUUGCAAAUGUGUCCCUUGAACGAGGAAUUCCCAGUAAGUGCGAGUCAUCAGCUCGCGCUGAUUACGUCCCUGCCCUUUGUACACACCGCCCGUCGCUGCCCGGAACUGAGCCGUCUCGAGAAGACUGGGGACUGCCGACUUAGGGCCUUCACGGGUUUUUUGUCAGUGGAAACCAAUUUAAUCGCAGCGGCUUGAACCGGGCAA